UACGUAGGGCGCAAGCGUUAUCCGGAAUUAUUGGGCGUAAAGAGCUCGUAGGCGGUUUGUCGCGUCUGCCGUGAAAGUCCGGGGCUCAACUCCGGAUCUGCGGUGGGUACGGGCAGACUAGAGUGAUGUAGGGGGAGACUGGAAUUCCUGGUGUAGCGGUGAAAUGCGCAGAUAUCAGGAGGAACACCGAUGGCGAAGGCAGGUCUCUGGGCAUUAACUGACGCUGAGGAGCGAAAGCAUGGGGGAGCGAACAGG
Molecule: ribosomal RNA, 255 nt
Filed under: uncultured bacterium
Lineage: Bacteria
Description: partial 16S ribosomal RNA
Rfam family: Bacterial small subunit ribosomal RNA
Source: RNAcentral